Sus scrofa (pig) is the source of this 10336-nucleotide non-coding RNA. Lineage: Eukaryota; Metazoa; Chordata; Mammalia; Artiodactyla; Suidae. The record is from RefSeq and is a predicted model, not a curated record.
ACAACCAAGUGAUUCAGUUAUAUUACACACACAGCCACACACACACAUUCAGGUUCUUUUCCAUUAUAGGUUAUUACAAGAUACUGAGCAUGGUUCCCCGCGCUACACAGUAAGUCCUUGUUGCUUUUGCAUCUUAUAUAUGUGUCUGCCUCUUAUUGAGGGGCAGAGGUUUGGUCCCCGUAGUCUGCUUGCUCACCUGCACAGUGCGGGUUGUUUCUCUUGUUCACAGGGAAGGGGAUGGACACUGAAGGUGACCCUUUUUCACCCUGUGAUGGCACAGGCUCCUGGGGUGACAUCCCUGCUGUGCCUUUUCUCUCUCCAGUCUCUUCUUGGCCAUCUCAUGGUUUCCAUGCUGUCCUCUCUGUGGGACUGCCAGAUCUCUAUUGCUAGGUUUUUUGUGUGUGUGUGUGUGUGUGUGUGUGUUGUGUGUGUGUUUGUUUUGUCUUCCUUGUAUUGCACACAUGCCUUUCUAACUGCCUGCUGGGUACACCGGUCCUGCCAGAAACCAGAACUUGGUGUAUGUCGGGCCGAGUUCAGCCUCGUCCCUCUCUAAUCUUCUCUGUGUCCUCACGUUCUGCCAGAGGCUCCCCCCUCUUCCUGGACUGUGGUUUUGUCUGUGGCCUAACCUGCCCUUGGCCUCCCUGGCCCAUCUUCUCCCUCUCACUUAACCAGAUGGUCAUCCCGGUCUCCUAACCAGCCUUCCUGCAGUGCCCCCAACGGUGGCUUGUCACCACAUCCUCCCGAAGCAGAGCUCUGGCUGUGUUGCUGCCCUGCUCAAAAACACAAAGUGGCUAUUACCGCUUUUCAAGAAUAAACUAGAGAAUUCUUAUCUUGGGGUUCAGCGCUAUCUAGGAUCUUAGAUUCCAGCUAUGUUUCUACCUCUUCCCUUACUUAGCACCCCUUGGGAGUAGGGACCAUCUUUGUCAGGUCUUUGUUAUAACCUCUAGCCCGUCAUCCGGCCGUCACAGCUCAGUUUGAUGCUGUUGCAUUAAACUCUCGUUCCUUCCUUCAUGCGUCACAACGUCUCUGCUCAUCGAAAUGGGUCCAAAGCUUUCCAGCCCGGGCACAAACCCCAUCUUCUUCUCUAGCCUUACUGGGUGUAUUGUUCCCCUGGCUUCCCAUCGGAAAUAAGAUGCCUCCCUUUGAACUCCCAUCCAAAAGAAGUGUGGAUAAAACUUGAUCAUACUAUCAUUUCUGGUUAUUUCUUCACCAAGGCACCCUAGGUUUUCGUGGUAGGCUCUGGGUGCUAUUCAGUUCUAUAGCCUUCUCUCCUCCACACCUCCCUCCCCACAGCCUAGCACGGUGUCCUGGACAUUAUAGGUGUUCUGUGAAUUGGAACUCGUUGCUCCGUGAAUUGGAAGUUGUCUGAUGGAUGGCGAUCUUCCUGCGGUGGACUGAGCUUUCUGAAUAUCUGCGAUGUGCUACUAAGGGUUGGUUAACCAUUGGGGCAAAGCUGGCAGUGAGGCGGAACCCAGAAAGUGGGCCCAGGUUCGGGUAUUGCCAAAGCAGAGCCACCUUAGCUUUGGUGCUUUUUCUUUUUUUUUUCUGUCCCCCCCCCUUUUGUCAGUGCCAAGUUUAUCUUAAUUGGCAUCUUUAUCAUGGCAGGAUAGUCCAGGCAGGAGCAAAGGGCUGGGGACGUGCAAACACCACGUGAAGUGAGAUGGCCGGGCCCACACACAAGGCCUUAUUGUACAGGAGCAGGUCUUCACGUGCCACUGCCUGUCUUUGCCCCCUGGGUGACAGUGAGCAGGCUCCAGUGACAGGGGCUCGUAGGAUCCUCCUCCCCUUCCCUGGCCCUCCAGCACCCCCAGAGGGGACCCACCUUCCAAGGAGAAGCAGCCCUUGGGGAAAGGGAGGCAGAGAGAGCUUUGCUGGGAAUGGCAGCAGGGCUGGGGAUGGGGGAACAUUCGCUGGUUCUCCAGUUGGGGUUUUCCUAUGGGUUAAGGGAACCUAGAAGGGGCUGAUGCUGAGGAAAGGGCUCAGACAGGACUCCCCUUUGCCCCUGCUCGCCUGCUGAGGGCAGUGGUAUCACUGCAUCAAUUUCUGUGCCUCACUUCAGUAACUAGGGAGCUCCUUGAGGGUGGGGACCAUGGCCUUUUCUUUUCUAUUCUCCGCCCACCCCCUUAUCUGGCCACCCCACCGCAUAUGGAGUUCCUGGGCCAGGGAUCAGAUCUGAGCUACAGCCGGGAUCCUUAACCCACUGUGCCAGCCGGGAGUCAAACCUAUGUCCCAGCGCUCCAGAAAUCCUGCUGAUCCUAUUAUGCCACAGCAGAAGCGCCUCUUUUCUUUACCCCUGUGCCCAACCUGGCACAAGGUAAUGACCCAUGAUGUGCUCAGUGGGUUGUAGAAGUGCCCCUGAUCCCUGAGACCCAGGGAGGAAUCAGCCUGCUCUAGGCUCCUAGAAAUCUUUACCUCUCCACACUGGGCUUGGCCAGGGAGAGACAGAGCCUGCUGAGUUAGCUGGAAGGAGGCAGAGGGGAUGAUGAGGUAGCCGCAGCCCCAAAGUGCCCACUGGGGAAUUGUCCCUUUGCAUCUAUGCUGUGUGUUCUCUGCAAGAUUCAUGAACCUGGGGCAGGCAUGAGCCAGAUCUGGAGACCAGAGGGUUGAGGGGUUGGGGGGCUGGUGGGGGGAGGGCCUGGCCAGUCCUCCCCCUUUUCCUCCUUUAGAUUUGGCAGGUAAAUUUCCAGGUGUUUGCAGUGAAAAGGUCCAGGGGUUUUCUAGGCACCCAGUGGCAGGUGUGAGUCGAUGACUCCACUUGGGGCCUCCCUGGGGGCAGCUAGCCAGGCUCAGGGCAGGAAGUGUCUGAUUCUGGGUCACUUGGCUGUUCUUGUUGCUGCUGAGAUUGUUCCUAUAGCCAAGAUCUUUGAUCUGGAAAGGAUAGGAGAAGAGCAUCCAGUUCAGCUCCUGACCUUCUGGCAAGAAGAGGGGUAUUAAUAUUCUCAGGUCCAUUUCAUGGGCAGGUAGCUGAGGCCCAGAAUGAUGGACCCACCUUAUAACUUAUAAGUCCUUGAAUGUGGCUCCUUCUGAUCGUUUCUUUUGGUCCUGACCAUGACUCGCUGUGCAUGGUUGGGGAGAGAUCGUGCUUCACUGACAAGGUGCAUUUUCUGUGGGGCGAGGCCAUCCUUGUCACUCGAGGCUUGAGAGGGCCAGCAAGGAUGUCCUUGCUCUAUAUUUGGGGCCUCAUGCAGAGAGGGUGGUAGGAAGACAGGGCGGCCUCUUGAACUUUGGGGUUCCUCUGAGUUGAGACCUUGCCUGGCUGGCCCCAAGAGGCUGUUGGUGGCUUGGGAAGCAAAGUAGGGAUGCCUGGCCUAGCCAGAGCUCCCGAGUUUCCCUCCACCAGCUCCACAUCACAGAAAUGCCUGGACUUCCUGGUCGUAAGAGGGGAGUUUUGGGAGUUCUGUCGUGGCUCAGUGAAAACGAAUCUGACUAGCAUCCAUGAGGAUGCAGGUUUCAUCUCUGGCCUUGCUCAGUGGGUUAAGGAUCCAGCAUUGCCAUGAGCUGUGGUGUAGGUCACAGAUGAGGCUUGGAUCCCACAUUGCUGUGGCUGUGGUGUAGGCUGGCAGCUGCAGCUCUGAUUCAACCCCUAGCCUGGGAACCUCCAUAUGCCAUGGGUGUGGCCCUAAAAAGACCAAAAAAAAAAAAAAAAAAAAAAAAAAAGAAGAAGAAGAAGGUAAUUUUGGAGGACCUGUGUGGCUGAAGCUUUGUUUUGGGGCUGUUUGAGGUCGGGGUAAGAACUUCCUCACCGGUGGCUUAGAGACCCAGCCUUUUGUCUCUCCAUCCUGAGAAACACAUUUUUAAACUUAAAAAAAAGGACUGCAUUUUCUUGGCUGCCAUGGGGGCCAGCCUCGGGCUGUCAUAAGAGCAGUCAGAGACGACCUCUAUUCUCCUGGCCAAGAUAGGGGCGUGUGCCCUGUGGCUGCCCUGUCCUUUCUCAUAAGAUAACUAAUAUCCCCACGAAACUCAGAUUGUUUCUGCUUUUUUUCUGCUCCAUUUUCUCUUUGUGGGAAAAUUGAAGCAAAAUGUUGUUUGUGCUUAUUUGCUUUGUCCUCUCAUUUUCAGGUUUCUUCCUCCUCUCCCGUAUCCCCGACACCUGCCCUAAUAAGGUGGAGUUAGUGACAAUCGGGGGUGUUAUGGCAUGGUUAAGGGUCCUUAUGGCCUCCUACCUGGCUUCGGAGAGGACAGGCAGUCGACGUUUAAUAAGGAACCUUUCGCCAUAGUCCCAUGUCUCUCCCCCCCGCCCCCCCCCCCCCCCCCCCCCGCAAGCUUAAUCGAAUAGCAGGUAGACGUGAAUUCUCAGUUCCUGGCCUGUGUCUGCUGACUAUGGUCUGAGCCGCUCGGGGGGAGGGGGGGCAGGUGGCCUCAGUUUGGUUAGGGGUUUGGUUGCUACUUCUGCACGUCUUUGUGCCUUUCCCCCUAUCUUAUCUUGCCUUCUUUCUCCUCUUGAUGUUUUUUGCAAGUAUGUGGCUACACCUAGUGUGAUCUGGAUCCUUUCUGCUUCUCCAGCUGGCUGGGUCGGUGUCCUGUGGUUGCGAUCAAGGGUGGACUCCGGUCUCCCAGCCCACUCCCUUUCUCCUUGCUUUUGUCCACUUGGCCGGACAAAGAGAACAAAACUAAAGGGCCACCCCUCCCCCUCUCCUAAACCAGCCCCGCGGUGCUGUUCUGCGCUGAUCUUCUGCAGCCGUUUAAACAAGGGCUCAGAUGCCCCAAAGUCAUGGGGACUGGCUGGGCCCAAGCGCCCCUCCCCACGAGAGCCCCAAACCAGCUAGGACCCCGUCCUUCUGCCUUCCUGCCCCGUGGUGCCCAGUGGGCGGUGGGGCCGAGUGGAGCCUCUGCGGUGGUGCUGCCCAGCAGCUCUGGUACAGUAGAGGAGCAGGAGGGCCGGGGGCCGGGGCAGGUCAGACAGGCCUCUUUUAUUUACAGUACUCUCUUUCACGGCCCCAGUGAAACAGGAGCCCCGAGAGGCUGCAGUGAAAGGGCACUGUGUUUGUGCACCCAGGCCUUCCAGGGCUUGCUACAAAAGUGUUUCUCCUGAUGGUCCGCUGUCUCACAGGAGCUGUGGUUGGGGGUGAAGCCUUGAGGGGGCCCCACCUUCCUCCCCUCACUCUCCUCUCUCCAGAGAGCAGUUUCAUGGAUAGUCAUCAAGUUCCUCGAGCUCCUGGAUCCUCGCAGCUGCCAUUUCCUGACCCCUUCUCCCCACGUGAUCCUUCUGAGCCUCAGUUUGCCCAUCUCUGCAGUGGGGGCACAGAGCAUCUACCUAAGACACAGGGUUGUUGUAAGGAUCGGCUCGCUCAAGAUUCCCUCCUUUCAAACUGACCAGCCGUGGUCCCUUUCUGAGCCUGAGGAGCCACACUGGGGACCCCGCCGAAUCUCUCUUCUCGCCUCCCUGGUUCUUGGGGUUCUUCAUACUUGUCACCCUCCAGUCUGCCUGACAUGAUAAAGGGAAGAGGAGGUUUCCAGAAGAACAUGCAAAGCAUGAAGGUUCGAGGUUGUAGAACAGAGGAAAACACCCCCCAACCACCCCACCCCCAAAUUGCCCUUUAAAAUUAAGAAGAUGAAAAAACCCCUGGUGCCUGCCCAGCCUUGGUAAAUUCUGGAAGGCUGACAAGGCUUCCUUCAUUGACCCGCUGUGGCUUCAGUAGCUGAGUCCAGAUGGGUGUGGAGGCCUCAAGUGUUUCUGCCUUUGCCCUUUAAUUAUAUCUUUGAAACUGUAUUGUCAGAGCCAAAAAUCAGGGCUUAGUGGGGGCACAGAAUGGUUAAAUUCAAGCCUGUUCCAGAGAGCCUCGGGCCAUUGAGAAGCCAUGGGUGGUCCACUGCUGGGGAGGUGGCUGCCCCCAGCUACCGAGGGGCCCUCUGCCUUUCAGCCUUUGUUUUCUGCCCCCUUCCUCCCCUAUUGCUGCUCCCACUGCUGCCCCCGAGGGGACUUCCCCCCACCCCAGCGGGGUCCUUGUCCAUCUUCCGGAGAGGCAGUUAAUAAGCAGCCACGCGUAGAAGGAAGAAGGCGAGCAGAAGCCCAGAUAAGGGUGAUGCACCUUGGUCUCAAGCGUAGAAUUAGAAGGAGCCUCGGAAAGUCUCCUUACCGUGUGCUCAUCCCUCAGGCCACAUUGGCAUUCUGGAAGCAGCCAGAGCCUGGAAAAAGAUUGGAAGGACACCGUAAAGGAAGUUUUCCCUCUUUGUCAGGACUGAUUUCUCUGCUGCCUGGUUUCUCUGAGGGACUCGUCUGUAAGAAAAAUGGAGAAUUUUAUUUCUCCCACUUAACUCACAUCCAUUUUCUGGAUGGUUUAUAGAAAAGACGUCACGCUAGCUCUUUGGGACCAUCCUAUGGUAGGAAUGGUUCUGGAUGGUUCUUGUGUUGUCAAGAGAUACUUUUUCUUUCUGUAUCUCUGUGUGUGGAGUAGUGAUGCUGUCAUUGGUUCAGACAUUGGGCCCUUCGCUGGUUAAACUCUUCAAUGUGGACCCUUAAAAUAUAUAUAUUUGAACUUUUCAAUAAAACAGAUCUAAUUAGAUCUUUGAUAGUCUGAGAUCCUGGUUCAUUCACACAAGCCACCCGGAAAGGUUUACUGUCCAGGUGAGGGCACGGACCACCCCGUGGACUGCGGUGUCCUGUGACGCUUUGGGUACCCAGCUCCUGGAGGCGGCUGGGGGACUUAGGCAGACGAUGGCAAGUGGGUGGUGCCUCCAGAGAACCAUGGCUGCUCAGGAAGUUUCUUUGUGGGCUUGAGCAUGGCUGCUGGUAGUCCACGUGGUGUUUUUCUGUGAAUUAGAAAAGGUGCCCUUUCAUGGGGGGCAGGGCACUCCUACCAGGGCCCGUGACUUGGUGAGCAGGAUGCGGUGGGAUUUGGUACCUGCUUGCCCCUUAAUUGGACCAUUGCACGUGGUCCCCCGCCCAAGGGGGCUUCCAUGGUUGGAGUGAUUUCGAAAUGAAAGCUGUUCUAAUGAGGUGUUUUGAACCAUCGGCGCCUUGGGUGUCUGUGGGUGGGAACAAGAGUUUCCAAAGGUCAAGGCCUCUUGGGGGGUUUCGGGGAGCCCUCAACCAGUCUCGGUGCUGCCUUAGCCCAGGGCCCGCCAGGGCCUUACACCCACCGCACCAGCCUGCAGGCCACCGCGGCUCAACUCCGCAUGAGCCAGGGGCCCCUCUGCCUGUUCUGGCAUCCUUAAAGCUGCCAGAAACGUCAGGUGGGGUUUAUGGCAUCCUUUCAGCAUGACUGUCUCUUGUGACCGAGGCCAAGAAAAACAACAGGAAGGGGUAGGAGGAAUGAAGGACGCCGUGCGCGCAGUCCCGGAAAAGCACAGCAUCUUAUGCAACCGAUUUCUUCGACUUAGAUGUGGAGCUGGGGGAAGGAGACCGGUUAACAAGGCAGGAUUCAGCCCUUUGCAAGAAGAUCCGAUGCCCUUACCCCUUUUCUCGUAGUUCUGCUCCCCAAGGCUGGGUCUUUCAAAAGCAACUACUGGGCAUAGGCCCGGGGGAGAGUUAAACCCUAGGUCCCUUUAACCUGAGCACCCUUGGGUGCUGUGAUGUCAAGGCUCUCUGAAGGGCCCAUGGUCAGUAGACCAAGGCCUGAGAAUAAUUUCCAUUUAACUAAUUAUUAUUCUUACUCCAACAGAUUCGAAAUCUAUUUAACUUUUCAGGGUCCCACAGCCUUUUAAAUGUUUCAAGUGUAUUCUCUCUGAUAGGUUACCUUUUCUCUCCCUGUAGGCUAUAAUUAGUGUCCUUUAGACAAAAUUGGCUUAGAAUUGGAUUUAGAGAAGAUAAGAAUCAAAUUACCAGUAUUUAUCUUGUAAAUUCCAAAAGAUCUACUUAAGACACUGUAUUAAAAAAGGGGGGGGGGAACGUUUAAAAGAAAAGUUUAUUCUAUGAAAAAGUAAAUUCCUCAUAGUCUGAGCAUCCCAGGGCCAUUUUAAUAUUAAAGCUGUGACUUCCUUUGGAGGAACAGAAAAUUGCCUUUUCCCUUGUCUCAGUUUUUAUCUCCUAUUGAGCUUCCGAAAUAUGUUGCCAGGCUUCAGGUGGUGGAGAGCUGAGGUGCUCUGGAUUUUCAUUAAAAUUUGGAGGGUUUGGAUUAUCUAUGAAUUGUGGUUUGUGGUAAGACAUAACCUUCUAAAUAUGCCUGUCUUAAAAUAUACAUGCAUUUUUUUUUUUUAAUCUUGGCAUUUUAAGUUAUUAAGCUGUUGGGAGAUGGGUGAACAGAGGUCUCCUGCACCUUUGCGUGUCCCAGAAUGUCAACAUGCUAGUUUUCCUGUGCUGCCUAGUACAGUGAGUCCCUAGCAGGUUUGAAUAAGAUCAUGUCAAAAAAAUAUGCCCGAAUUUUUAACACUGUUGGCUCUUAAAGGUGCCAGGCACUCAUGGCACAUUCAUAUUGUUCAUUAAGCUGUUCAGCUGUGUUCCCUGUACCUGCAAAUCCUUCCUUUAUUCAAGCCCACUUCUGCUGCUGAACUCAAAACUCUUACCCCUCCAGUGAGGCAGCCUCAGGUUUUGACUGCAGCCCCUGGUUUGUGGCCGAGGUGGCACUUCCCAGGCACUUCUGUGACCGCGUAGGCACUCUCUGCAUGGCCUUCUGCUUUAGCAACAUGAUUGACUGUAGUUUUCCAAAUUGGUUCUGCCUUUUUUUUUUUUUUUUUUUUUGGUUCUUAUGAAGGUGUUGGCUGUCAAAGCACAAACAACCGAUUCCUUUUAGGGGCACAAAAAUGUAUUUUGUCAGCAGUUCCACUUGUAGGUAUGGACCCCAAAGAAUGGAGAGCAGGGACUUAGAUAACUUGUAUACCCAUGUUCAUAGCAGCAUUAUUCAUAAUAACAGAAAGAUAGAAACAACCCAAAUGUCUAUUGACAGAUGAACAAAUCUGAGGUAAAUACAUAGAGUGGAAUAUUAUUCAGCCUUAAAAAAGGAAUGACGUUCUGACACAGACACUUGGUACAGCGUGGAUGACUCUUGAAAACAUUAUUUCAAGUGAAAGAAGCCACAUGUAAAAGGUAAGUCCAGUAGAGUUCCAUUCAUAUGAAGUACCAUGCAUUUGAGAAACAAAUCAAAGAGACAGGGAGCAGGAUAGAGGCUUCUGGGGGCUGGGGAAAUGGGGGCGGGAAUAGGGACUUAGUGUUUAAUGGGUACAGAGUUUCAGCUUGGGGUGAUGGAAAAAUUCUGUGGAUGGAGAGUGGUGGUGGUUGCACAACAGUGUGAAUGCACUUAAUGCCACUGACCUGGUACGCUUAAGAAUGGUUAAAAAUAGUGCAUUUUAUGUUAUGUCUCUUUUACCAAAGAAAAAAUGAUUUUAUGUGAAUUGUGAUACCUGCCAUUUGAGACAAAAUUUCUUGGAAAGCACUUAGCUCAUCAUACUGUUAAACGCCCUUGGCUAAGUGUUAAAGAAACAAUUACCUAAAUAUACAGUCUUGAUUAUCGGCUACCAGACUGGCACCCUUUAACCAUCGUUAUUGUUACUAGCUAGACGGAAUAUUUCCACUAGGUAUUACCUCCCAAGAGGCGUGAUUAUUUGUUGCGGCCCUGUGUUUUUAUUACUCAUCUGAUUCUAGAAAGGUCUCCCCAUUUUUGGCUCUGGAACCUUCUCUCAUGACCUCUUUCCAGAGGGAAGGCCGGGGAAAAUCUUCCUCUGAUUUUUUUUUUUUUUCCCUACGUCAGUAAUUUUAAAAAAUGUCUGUGGUUUUACAACACAGGGAGGUUUCAGUGAGGAAGGAAAUUCAUUCCGGGUUUGCAAACUUUCUGAAAAUUAUGGAAGAGGUGUUUAUGCUUUUCGACUCGGUACCUGUGUGGUCAGGGUUUUAGAAGCUUUCUGUUCCCCCUCUGUGGCGUGCCUUGCCCACCCCAACUGGUUGCAGAUGUAGCCAGAGAUCUUGCGAGCUUCUGAGCAGAAACUUUCAGCUCCUCUUAGUUGGGUUUUUAUGUAAAUGACAAAUUUUCGAAGUCCUAAGGAGAUGCACAGUGAAAAAUCUAUGCCCAAAUGAGUUGGCAUCUUGAGAUGAAAAUAUCAGCUCUGCAAAUGGAAGUUUCCUCUACGCGGUGGUGGUGUGGCAGCCAGCAGCCUUGUUCUGUGCUUCUGAGGCUUUAGUGGCCAGCCAGGGAAGGGACGAGGCUCGCCGUAUAUAUAGUACCAGGCGUGUGGGCGCCUUGGCGCUGAUCUGAAAAAGCUUAACUUUGGCAUUUCUGGGUUUAUUUUAAACCUACAACCUUUAACGCCAGACACAGAGCUUCUUUCCCACUUAAUGUAACCAUACAUUGAUGGCUUUUAAUUAGUGUUGGAUCUUUUUUGGUGUUUUGCAGCUUGGGAUAUAUAAAAAGUCUGACUUAAAUUAAAAAAAAAAAAAAAAAAAAGCAAACUCCAACAUUCUCACGAA